This 860-nucleotide ribosomal RNA is filed under the name uncultured archaeon. RNAcentral's name for it is "bacterial SSU rRNA". It matches the Rfam family "Archaeal small subunit ribosomal RNA", at positions 47 to 913 of the family's 1478-position model. The record is from RNAcentral.
AGCCAUGCGAGUCAUUGUAGCAAUACAAGGCAGACGGCUCAGUAACGCGUAGUCAAUCUACCCUGUUGACGGGGAUAACCUCGGGAAACUGAGAAUAAUACCCGAUAGAACAUUAUGCCUGGAAUGGUUUAUGUUCCAAAUGAUUUAUCGCAAUAGGAUGGGACUGCGGCCUAUCAGUUUGUUGGUGAGGUAAUGGCCCACCAAGACUAUUACAGGUACGGGCUCUGAGAGGAGUGGCCCGGAGAUGGGUACUGAGACACGGACCCAGGCCCUAUGGGGCGCAGCAGGCGAGAAAACUUUGCAAUGUGCGAAAGCACGACAAGGUUAAUCCGAGUGGUUUCUGCUAAAGAAACCUUUUGUCAGUCCUAGAAACACUGAUGAAUAAGGGGUGGGCAAGUUCUGGUGUCAGCCGCCGCGGUAAAACCAGCACCUCAAGUGGUCAGGAUGAUUAUUGGGCCUAAAGCAUCCGUAGCUUGUUUUGUAAGUUUUCGGUUAAAUCCAUACGCUUAACGUAUGGGCUGCCGGGAAUACUGCAUAACUAGGAAGUGGGAGAGGUAGACGGUACUCGGUAGGAAGGGGUAAAAUCCUUUGAUCUAUUGAUGACCACCUGUGGCGAAGGCGGUCUACCAGAACACGUUCGACGGUGAGGGAUGAAAGCUGGGGGAGCAAACCGGAUUAGAUACCCGGGUAGUCCCAGCUGUAAACUAUGCAAACUCAGUGAUGCAUUGGCUUGUGGCCAAUGCAGUGCUGCAGGGAAGCCGUUAAGUUUGCCGCCUGGGAAGUACGUACGCAAGUAUGAAACUUAAAGGAAUUGGCGGGGGAGCACCACAAGGGGUGAAGCCUGCGGUUCAAUUGGAGUC